AUGGAGCUUUAGACACCAAGGCCGCUCAUGUUAAACACCCUUAAUAAAGGAGCAAACCAAAUGAGACCUGCCCUAAUGUCUUUGGUUGGGGCGACCGCGGGGAAUUAAAAAACCCCCACGUGGAACGGGGGCACCCCUCCUACAACUAAGAGCUACAGCUCUAGUAAACAGAACUUCUGACCAGCAAGAUCCGGCAAAGCCGAUCAACGGACCG
This 214-nucleotide ribosomal RNA is filed under the name Trichodon trichodon. RNAcentral's name for it is "partial 16S ribosomal RNA". The record is from RNAcentral. Lineage: Eukaryota; Metazoa; Chordata; Actinopteri; Perciformes; Trichodontidae.